RNAcentral lists this ribosomal RNA (492 nucleotides) under uncultured bacterium. Its description in RNAcentral is "partial 16S ribosomal RNA". It matches the Rfam family "Bacterial small subunit ribosomal RNA", at positions 29 to 507 of the family's 1533-position model. The record is from RNAcentral.
AGUGAACGCUGGCGGUAGGCCUAACACAUGCAAGUCGAACGGCAGCACAGUAAGAGCUUGCUCUUACGGGUGGCGAGUGGCGGACGGGUGAGGAAUACAUCGGAAUCUACUUUUUCGUGGGGGAUAACGUAGGGAAACUUACGCUAAUACCGCAUACGACCUACGGGUGAAAGCAGGGGAUCUUCGGACCUUGCGCGAUUGAAUGAGCCGAUGUUGGAUUAGCUAGUUGGCGGGGUAAAGGCCCACCAAGGCGACGAUCCGUAGCUGGUCUGAGAGGAUGAUCAGCCACACUGGAACUGAGACACGGUCCAGACUCCUACGGGAGGCAGCAGUGGGGAAUAUUGGACAAAGGGCGAAAGCCUGAUCCAGCCAUACCGCGUGAGUGAAGAAGGCCUUCGGGUUGUAAAGCCCUUUUGUUGGGAAAGAAAAGCAGCAGGUUAAUACCCCGCUGUUCUGACGGUACCCAAAGAAUAAGCACCGGCUAACUUCGUG